GACACCAUGGCGGAGUGGUCUAACGCGUAAGACUUGAAAUCUUAUGUCCUAUGGACGCGCAGGUUCGAACCCUGCUGGUGUCG
Gaertneriomyces semiglobifer is the source of this 83-nucleotide non-coding RNA. Lineage: Eukaryota; Fungi; Chytridiomycota; Chytridiomycetes; Spizellomycetales; Spizellomycetaceae. The record is from the annotation of a GenBank genome assembly.